Molecule: ribosomal RNA, 987 nt
Filed under: uncultured organism
Description: bacterial SSU rRNA
Rfam family: Bacterial small subunit ribosomal RNA
Source: RNAcentral
ACCAAGGCUAAGACGGCUAGGGGGCGUGAGAGCGUGGCCCCCCACAAUGGAACUGAGACACGGUCCAUACUCCUACGGGAGGCAGCAGUGAGGAAUAUUGCGCAAUGGGGGAAACCCUGACGCAGCAACGCCGCGUGGACGAUGAAGGCCUUCGGGUUGUAAAGUCCUUUUCUGAGGGAAGAUAGUGACGGUACCUCAGGAAUAAGUCCCGGCUAACUACGUGCCAGCAGCCGCGGUAAAACGUAGGGGGCGAGCGUUAUCCGGAUUUACUGGGCGUAAAGCGCACGUAGGUGGUGUCGUAAGUUGGACGUGAAAGCUCUUGGCUUAACUGAGAGAGGUCGUUCAAAACUGCGGCGCUUGAGGAUAGAAGAGGGGAGUGGAAUUCCCGGUGUAGUGGUGGAAUGCGUAGAUAUCGGGAGGAACACCAGUGGCGAAGGCGGCUCCCUGGUCUAUCUCUGACGCUGAGGUGCGAAAGCGUGGGGAGCGAACGGGAUUAGAUACCCCGGUAGUCCACGCUGUAAACGAUGGAUACUAGGUGUGGGAGGUCAUCUAACCCUUCCGUGCCGAAGCAAACGCGUUAAGUAUCCCGCCUGGGGACUACGGCCGCAAGGUUAAAACUCAAAUGAAUUGACGGGGGCCCGCACAAGCAGCGGAGCGUGUGGUUUAAUUCGAUGAUACGCGAAGAACCUUACCUGGGUUUGACAUGUUGGUAGUAGUGAAGCGAAAGCGGAACGACCCUUCGGGGAGCCAUCACAGGUGCUGCAUGGCUGUCGUCAGCUCGUGUCGUGAGAUGUUGGGUUAAGUCCCGCAACGAGCGCAACCCUUGUCGUUAGUUAUAUGUGUCUAGCGAGACUGCCGGUAUCAAACCGGACGCGAGGUGGGGAUGACGUCAAGUCAGCAUGGUCUUUAUAUCCAGGGCUACACACACGCUACAAUGGCCGGUACAAUAGGUUGCCACACCGCGAGGUGGAGCUAAUCCCCAAAGCC